GACGAACGCUGGCGGCGUGCUUAACACAUGCAAGUCGAACGGAAAGGCCCUUCGGGGUACUCGAGUGGCGAACGGGUGAGUAACACGUGGGUGAUCUGCCCUGCACUUUGGGAUAAGCCUGGGAAACUGGGUCUAAUACCGAAUAUGACUAUGCACCUCCUGGUGUGUGGUGGAAAGCUUUUGCGGUGUGGGAUGGGCCCGCGGCCUAUCAGCUUGUUGGUGGGGUAAUGGCCUACCAAGGCGACGACGGGUAGCCGGCCUGAGAGGGUGACCGGCCACACUGGGGCUGAGAUACGGCCCAGACUCCUACGGGAGGCAGCAGUGGGGAAUAUUGCACAAUGGGCGCAAGCCUGAUGCAGCGACGCCGCGUGAGGGAUGACGGCCUUCGGGUUGUAAACCUCUUUCAGCACAGACGAAGCGCAAGUGACGGUAUGUGCAGAAGAAGGACCGGCCAACUCCGUGC
RNAcentral lists this ribosomal RNA (463 nucleotides) under uncultured bacterium. RNAcentral's name for it is "bacterial SSU rRNA". It matches the Rfam family "Bacterial small subunit ribosomal RNA", at positions 28 to 508 of the family's 1533-position model. The record is from RNAcentral.